AAUUAUUGGUCACCCUACUGCCAUCUGAUCUCUCUAGCUAUUGCCGGCUACCCUCCAUAGCUUUCUUGCCAGAUUCCAGAGAUGGGCUGGCAGCAGCAGUGAGGUUGGACUACCUGAUUUUGGAAUUUCAUUCCUCACAUUUUUUCAACGAUUUCAAUUCCAAUUAGAGUUCUUGUUGGGAAACCUUUGAUCUUUGGAUUCUCUGCUCAUUUUGUUGUUCUUUCAAUACUGAAUUUUCUGUGGGCUAAGUGCAUGUUGUUGAUCCGAAGGUUUUGAAUUUGAUUUUAGUUUUAUAGAUUACUUGUCAAAUAUGUUUGGAAUUUAUGGUUGAACUGAUGUAAUAAUUAAUUUGGAUUCAAUAUCAUGCACAGGGAAUUAA
This 379-nucleotide unclassified non-coding RNA is filed under the name Hevea brasiliensis (rubber tree). Lineage: Eukaryota; Viridiplantae; Streptophyta; Magnoliopsida; Malpighiales; Euphorbiaceae. The record is from RNAcentral.